This 214-nucleotide long non-coding RNA is filed under the name Solanum tuberosum (potato). RNAcentral's name for it is "long non-coding RNA (STUB_LNC008306)". The record is from RNAcentral. Lineage: Eukaryota; Viridiplantae; Streptophyta; Magnoliopsida; Solanales; Solanaceae.
AAAUUUUGAUUUGGUUUUUCAAUUUUUGAUUUUAGAAAGUGUGCACCGUAUAUUAAACCAAACUAAUUCGGUUCGGUUUUUUCUACUUCGGUUCGAUUUAGUUCGGUGUUUUUAAAAUUGAUUUUUCGGUGUGAAUGAAAAUAAAAUAAGGAUAAAGUAUAAGAUACUUAGAAAUUUAAAACUAUAUUAAGGAAUGAUGAGUAUUACCGUGGAA